GAUGAACGCUGGCGGCGUGCCUAAUACAUGCCAGUCGAGCGAACGGACGAGAAGCUUGCUUCUCUGAUGUUAGCGGCGGACGGGUGAGUAACACGUGGAUAACCUACCUAUAAGACUGGGAUAACUUCGGGAAACCGGAGCUAAUACCGGAUGAUAUUUUGAACCGCAUGGUUCAAAAGUGAAAGACGGUCUUGCUGUCACUUAUAGAUGGAUCCGCGCUGCAUUAGCUAGUUGGUAAGGUAACGGCUUACCAGGCAACGAUGCAUAGCCGACCUGAGAGGGUGAUCGGCCACACUGGAACUGAGACACGGUCCAGACUCCUACGGGAGGCAGCAGUAGGGAAUCUUCCGCAAUGGGCGAAAGCCUGACGGAGCAACGCCGCGUGAGUGAUGAAGGUCUUCGGAUCGUAAAACUCUGUUAUUAGGGAAGAACAUAUGUGUAAGUAACUGUGCACAUCUUGACGGUACCUAAUCAGAAAGCCACGGCUAACUACGUG
This 496-nucleotide ribosomal RNA is filed under the name uncultured bacterium. Its description in RNAcentral is "partial 16S ribosomal RNA". It matches the Rfam family "Bacterial small subunit ribosomal RNA", at positions 28 to 507 of the family's 1533-position model. The record is from RNAcentral.